UUCACCUUUAAGAACAGUCCAGAGAGGCUGAAAAGGGAUGCGAAGAAUGUGAAGUCCGUAUGCAGUAACUGCUUACUUGACAAUCUAUCAGUAUACCUAUAACCUCUUGGGCCAAUCGCUCAAGAGUUUUUUUAU
Rummeliibacillus stabekisii is the source of this 135-nucleotide non-coding RNA. The record is from Rfam. NCBI's taxonomy places the organism in Bacteria, Bacillati, Bacillota, Bacilli, Caryophanales, Caryophanaceae.